GGAAGCUUGGCAGAGUCUGGCUGAUUGCACCGGUCUUGAAAACCGGCAGGGGAUGAAAGUCCUUUCCUGGGUUCGAAUCCCAGCGCUUCCACCA
This 94-nucleotide transfer RNA is filed under the name Acidithiobacillus ferrivorans. RNAcentral's name for it is "tRNA-Ser". It matches the Rfam family "tRNA". Rfam says of the family: Transfer RNA (tRNA) molecules are approximately 80 nucleotides in length. Their secondary structure includes four short double-helical elements and three loops (D, anti-codon, and T loops). Further hydrogen bonds mediate the characteristic L-shaped molecular structure. tRNAs have two regions of fundamental functional importance: the anti-codon, which is responsible for specific mRNA codon recognition, and the 3' end, to which the tRNAs corresponding amino acid is attached (by aminoacyl-tRNA synthetases). tRNAs cope with the degeneracy of the genetic code in two manners: having more than one tRNA (with a specific anti-codon) for a particular amino acid; and 'wobble' base-pairing, i.e. permitting non-standard base-pairing at the 3rd anti-codon position. Lineage: Bacteria; Pseudomonadati; Pseudomonadota; Acidithiobacillia; Acidithiobacillales; Acidithiobacillaceae. The record is from RNAcentral.